Molecule: long non-coding RNA, 2820 nt
Organism: Cyprinus carpio carpio
Lineage: Eukaryota; Metazoa; Chordata; Actinopteri; Cypriniformes; Cyprinidae
Source: Ensembl
GAAUCAGUCCGAACUGAUUGCACUAUAUUUUAUGUAUAAUCAUUUUCUAUUCUUAACUGUUUUAAACUCAUCUUAAACCUCUUAAAUCCAUUUUUAAAUAAUUUUCAAAGUUUCUAAAUUCCUUGUUUUAUUGUUGUGAUUAUUUUUUAUUAUUAUUAUUUUCUUUUCUUUUAUGUAAAGCACUUUGAAUUACCAUUGUGCAUACCAAUAAUUAAUGUGCAUCUUGUCAGUAAAGCCGGUUCUCUGACAAGCUGCGCAAAUCCAUGUUCUUUAUCAGCAUUGAUUUGCGCAGCUUGUUAGGUAACAACGGCUCUGUGUAGUAACAGCUGCUCUAUGUGAAAUCACGAACCUGAUGGAAUUUACCGCUGAUUAGAGAACCGGCUUUACUGACGAGAUGCGACAAACCGCUGUUGAGAUUUAUUUGGAGAGAUCUUCAGACAGACAAAGCACCAGACGUGUACAAAUGCCAAGUUCUACCCUUUGGAACAAUGUGUAGCCCUUGCUGUGGAACAUCCACUCUACAGAAGCUAUCCUGGAUAACAGUGAGACAGAUGACACACAGUUCUCAGUAGAGAACUCUUUCUACAAUGAUAACUGCCUUCAGAUAUUCACCUCAAGUAAAACAGUGAAAGAUUUUGUCAAUAGACUCCGCAGCCACUUAAGUUCAGAAGGCUUUGAAUAAAAACACUGGGCGUGCAAUAAUCCAUCAGUUAUCAGUCACCUGCCAGCUAAUGCUCGAUCUCAAAGUAAUAUCCAGUGGCUCAGCGAAGGCCAUCAAAAUGCACUGGAGUCAACGGGUUACAUUGGCAUUGCUCAUCAGACACUCUCUCCUAUAAGCAACGCUGGACAGGCCACCCACUUCCAACUAUGCAGAGCAUAUACUGUAUCCUCACUACUCAGUACUGUAUGGCCCUAUUGGCUAUAUUGUGCCAUUCAUAACACAAGUCAAAGUAAUUAUACAGAGGUUACAGGACAAGAAAAGAGAGUUGGAUGAUCCCUGACUGCCUGAUGAACUGUUUAACUUGAGGAAAGUUUGGGAGAGUGAGCUGGAUGAUCUACAGCAUGUGGCAUGGCCGUGGUGUUACUACAGCAAAGAACUGGAUCACCCUACUAGCACCAAGCAGAUCCACAUUUUCUGCGAUACUUCAGAGCAAUCAUAUGGUUCUGUAGCCUACUUACAAACUGAAAAACCUGAAGGUAAAGUGGCAGUAGCUGUGUUGCUGCUAGAUCUUGUGUAGCCCCGAAAAAAAGAGCAAACCAAUUCACAGCUGGAGUUAUGUGCAGUAUUGACUGGGUACCAGCUCAUGAAAGUUCUGAAUACAGAGCUGGCUUUGCCUAUCCACAGUGUCAAUCUGUGGUCUGAUUCCACAACUGUCCUUAACUGGUUGCUAUAACCCUCCUGUUGUUUCAAAGAGUUUGUAGGUACCAGAAUAGCAGAAAUUCAGGAACUCACAAAGUCUGAUAAGUGGAGGUAUGUGCCAUCAAAGGAGAAUCCCACAGAUUACAUCCCCAUGGGAAAAUUUCUCUGUGACACAGGCCAGGAAAGCAGAUGGAACAAAGAGCCCAACUUUCUCAGACAAACAACUGACCCCUGGCCAGAGAUGCCACCGUUAACAACCUUUGAUCAAGAUGGUGAACUGAGAAAGCCGAUCUUCUGUGGUCCAUCAAUUUCCUCCUCACCCAUUCCUGAUCCACAGAAUUAUGAUACACUUCCAGAGUUACUAAAGGCUUACAUCCAGCAAGUCAACAGGGUGGCCAUGGAUAUCAAAACAGCUGUCUACAGAUGACAAAAGAUGACUACAAAAAGGCAGAACUUGCAGUCAUUCAUCAAAGCCAGAGCAGCUCAUUUCCAGAGGAACAGCCACCUUAGAGCAGGUAAACCCUUGCCAAGGAAUAGCCACUUACUGUGCUAAGCUCCUGAAUUUCAUGAGGAUACCAAACUCAUAUGAUUUGGGGAACGGCUCUGUCAAAACAGCCAACUGGAGGAAGAUGCUAUACAUCCCAUGUUUGCUGAACUUCAGCGGAAAAACUGGGUGAUACGGGGUGAGCUGCAGUCAGAAACAACCAAGGACAGUGUCCAGAGUGUCAGAGAUGGCAGGGACAACCCCAUCCCCCGAGAAUGGCAGACCUGCCACCUGCCAGACUAAGGAUCAUCAACCUGUCUUCUACUCGACAGGUGUGAAUUGUUUUGGACCUUACACCAUAAAGGUGGGAUGUAGAACUGAGAAAAGAUGGGGAAUCAUCUUUAAAUGCAUGACUUUAGCAUAGUUCACAUUAACAACCUCACCAACACAGAAGCCUGCUUGUGUGAUGAGGAGGUGGUGUUCUCAGCUUCUUCUGAAGAGAGGGAAAGACGGGUUUAAGAUCCUGAAAGCCAGAGACAAGAUAACUUCAUUCUUUUGAGACUGAUAACUCAAACUAACUUUGGAGUUAAGGACACAGAAGCCUGCAUGUGUGAGGAGGAGGCGAUUUUCUUAGCUUCUUUGGAAGAGAGGGAAAGACAGUUUAAGAACUCAAACCAACUUUGGAGGUGUCUGAUUUGGAGAGUUAUCAUUCUUGGUCUUCCCUCUUAAAGGAAUAGUUCACACAAAAAAAUAAUUUACUUGCCCUCAUGUCAUUCCAAACCUAUAAGACUUUUGUCUGUCUUUACAACACAAAUGAAUAUAUUUUUAAUUUUCUCAUAAUUUUUUGUUAAUCCAUUGAGAGUCUAGAUAAUCAGUAUUUUCAAGCCUCAUAAAUACAGAGUUAUUGUAGAAGUAAUCCAUUCCGAUAUUUAUAUAUGAUUAAAUCUUAAAUUACAUGAUAGCGAACAUGUAUGUU